CCUCAGGCCCGGCCUAUUUACACAGAAAUCUGCCACUAUUCCACUUCGGAAUAAGGGACUGAAGCACUGCUGAAGAUCCCCGUUUAAUCACUUUUGGAAAAAAAACAUUUGAAGAUGUUAAAAUUGGUGGUCAGACACUUUGCGUUCAAUUCUAACCCACUCUCUCCAAACAAAAAUGGCCAGGACCGAAGCAUUUCUGAAGAUUACAGCUUAUUCCACUGAGCUGCUCCUACUCUAUUGACGAGCCAAACUGGCAACAUUUUGCUGAGGCUAGUGUUGUGCAGUCUUCAAGAGCCUGAUGGUAGUUGGGAAGAAGCUAUUCUUAAGGAUGGUGGCCAUGGUUUCCAGAUUCCCAAAAAAGCAUGGCCAGGAUGGUGUGGGUCUUUGAUGACACCGGCUGCCUUUAUGAGGCAGCGCCUCCUAUAAAUCCCUUCAAUGGCGGGAAGGUCAGUUCCUGUAACGUCUACCACUUUUUGUAAUCUUCUUUGUCCCUGGGUGUUUUGAGUUGCCGAACCAGGGCCUGAUACAACCAGUCAAUAUGCUCUCUACCACGCACCAAGCGAGUGUUCGUUGACAUACUGAAUCACCUUCAGUCUUCUAACGAAGUAGAGGAAUUGAUAAGAUUUCUUUAUGAUUGCUUCAGUGUACGGGGCCCUGGAACUUGAAGUUGUUGAUUCUCUCCACUGUCAACCCAGAGAUACAGACCCUUCCAAAGUCACCAAUCAGCUCAUUGGUCUUGUAAAUGUUGAGAGCAAGAUUGUUGUUCUGGAACCAUUCAGUCAGAUUUUCAAUCUCCUUCCCAUACUCUGACUCAUUAUUGCUAAUUAUUCAUCCAAUAACUGUGGUGCAGUUGGCAAAUUUAAUGAAGGCAUUGGAACUGUGUCUGGUUACACAGUACUGAGUUUAAAGUGAGUGGGGUAGGGAACUGAGCACCCAGCCUUGAGGUGAUCCUGUGCUGUUGGUCAUCGAGAAGGAAGUAUUGUUGCAAAUUCAUAUUGAUUGUGCUUUGCCGAUGAGGAAGUUGGGGAUCCAGUUGCAAAGAGAUGAACAGAGAUCCAGUUCCCUGAGUUUGGAGAGAAUUUUGGUAUUGAGUGCCAAGCUGUAGUCAAUGAAAAACAGCCAAUUUUCCCAAUCCUUCUAUGAUGCAAAUGUUAUCAUCUGUGGCUAUGUUCAUGCCAGGCUUUACCUAUUAUAUAUUCACCCAUGUAAGCAAUGCAAGUCCAACCAUUCAGGAAGUGGCACAAUAUGGACACAUAAUCUUCCAAUCUGAUGGCUUCUCGUUCCAUCUAGAAAGAAACCCAUGUUGGAUCUGGACCCAUUGUCUUCCAGCAUUGGGUUGCCAUUUUUGGUGUUUCUGUUCAGAUUCCCAUUUAACCAUCUAAUUUUAGGAUUGUCUCUCUUGGAAAUGUGUGUUUAAUAUCUUGUUAGUUUAGU
Long non-coding RNA from Leucoraja erinaceus (little skate), 1434 nucleotides. RefSeq lists it as uncharacterized. NCBI's taxonomy places the organism in Eukaryota, Metazoa, Chordata, Chondrichthyes, Rajiformes, Rajidae. The transcript is spliced from 3 exons. The record is from RefSeq and is a predicted model, not a curated record.